RNAcentral lists this ribosomal RNA (407 nucleotides) under Planococcaceae bacterium MSSRF.20. RNAcentral describes it as "bacterial SSU rRNA". It matches the Rfam family "Bacterial small subunit ribosomal RNA", at positions 91 to 484 of the family's 1533-position model. Lineage: Bacteria; Bacillati; Bacillota; Bacilli; Caryophanales; Caryophanaceae. The record is from RNAcentral.
UUUAGCGGCGGACGGGUGAGUAACACGUGGGCAACCUGCCCUGCAGAUCGGGAUAACUCCGGGAAACCGGUGCUAAUACCGAAUAGUUUUUUGCCCCUCCUGGGGCGAAACGGAAAGACGGUUUCGGCUGUCACUGCAGGAUGGGCCCGCGGCGCAUUAGCUAGUUGGUGGGGUAAUGGCCCACCAAGGCGACGAUGCGUAGCCGACCUGAGAGGGUGAUCGGCCACACUGGGACUGAGACACGGCCCANACUCCUACGGGAGGCAGCAGUAGGGAAUCUUCCGCAAUGGGACGCAAGUCUGACGGAGCAACGCCGCGUGAGUGACGAAGGUUUUCGGAUCGUAAAACUCUGUUGUGAGGGAAGAACAAGUAUCAACUAACUACUGGUACCUUGACGGUACCUCACC